CGUGAGGUAGCUCAAGAGGUAGAGCGCAUGAAAAACAUGAUGUUGUAGGUUCGAAUCCUACCCUCACGA
This 69-nucleotide transfer RNA is filed under the name Lachnospiraceae bacterium. RNAcentral's name for it is "tRNA-Phe". It matches the Rfam family "tRNA". Rfam says of the family: Transfer RNA (tRNA) molecules are approximately 80 nucleotides in length. The record is from RNAcentral. Lineage: Bacteria; Bacillati; Bacillota; Clostridia; Lachnospirales; Lachnospiraceae.